RNAcentral lists this unclassified non-coding RNA (430 nucleotides) under soil metagenome. Its description in RNAcentral is "partial contains 5.8S ribosomal RNA, internal transcribed spacer 2, and large subunit ribosomal RNA". The stretch from base 1 to 120 matches the Rfam family "5.8S ribosomal RNA", at positions 35 to 154 of the family's 154-position model. The record is from RNAcentral.
GAUGAAGAACGUAGCGAAAUGCGAUACGUAAUGUGAAUUGCAGAAUUCAGUGAAUCAUCGAAUCUUUGAACGCAUAUUGCGCUCUCUGGUAUUCCGGAGAGCAUGCUUGUUUGAGUAUCAGUAAACACCUCAACUCCCUUUUCUUUUUUGAAAUUGGAGCUGGACUUGAGUGAUCCCAACGCUUUCUUCCAAGAAAGUGGCGGGUUGCUUGAAAUGCAGGUGCAGCUGAACUUUUCUCUGAGCUAUAAGCAUAUCUAUUUAGUCUGCCUAAAAAACAGAUUAUUACCUUUGCUGCAGCUAACAUAAAGGAGACUAGUUCUUGUGCUGACUGAUGCAGGGUUCACAGAGACAGCUUCGGCUGACUUUGUAAACUCGAUCUCAAAUCAAGUAAGACUACCCGCUGAACUUAAGCAUAUCAAUAAGCGGAGGA